CUUUCUCUCCAGUUAACUCAAAAAUGAAAGAUGAUCAAGGAGCUGUUUUGCACAUUAGAGAACAACUCAAGUUUUAGCACAGGAAGAAGGAGAAAAAUGUUUCCAGCUGAUGCAUCUAGGAAGCUUACUGGCAGCAUUAUCUUUCCCUGACUGCCUUUCCAAGUCAGGACUCUCUUCUUGAUGCAACUUUUGGUCUACCUGGUGCCUGAAACUAUCUUCUAAAGGGCAUGAAGGCAAGCUGUGUAAGAGCACAGCUCCCAGGGAAAUUAUGGUGCUACUUGGUCUGGAAUGCAGAUCUUAGGUUCUCACUGUGGUUCUUGUUGGUUCUGUGGAGGUCUGUCUGCACAUCAGGAGCCAAGGGAAGCAUUUGACAGAUAAGUUGCAAUCUUCAGCCUUCCACAUUUCUGAAAUAGAAAAAUUAAUAAGAAAACUAGUAUCUCUACUUCUUCAUCUGGAACCAUACAGCUGUGAAUUUGAUAAAGCAAGUCAGGAGACUCAGAUUCUAAGCAAACUGCACAGCAGAGCAGUUGUCUUCCCUGAUUUUCUUCUAUCUCCUCCUCCCUGUCAUGUCUAUGAAGGCUUCUGUAGAAAUUUUAUCAAGUGUGCAAGCUGCUGUGAGGAACCCUGUGUUUUUACAGAUGCUGAGUGCAGGCAGUGCAGAGGCUGCUGCUGCUGGACCAACCCCAACUAAUUCCUCCUCCCAGAGCUUCUUGAGGUACAAAGACAGCACUGACAAGAAGUUACUUGGAAAUGGUGGAGUUUGAUCUGCUGAUGAGGGAUUAUGAAGAAAAUAAUCUUCAUAACCUUCACAGAUCUGUAGAGGUUGCUGAAAUAUCCUAUAUUAUUUGAACAGAAACUGCCUCAGAAAGAUAAUGAGUUUAUACCUCAGAAGAGGAGAUGGGCAAAAUAAUCAGGUUCAGCUUUGAAAUGGAGAAGCCAUUGUUUUAAGGACCAUCAAAUCAUACUAACAUCAGUGGUGAGGCAAGAAUCCUCAGAAUGAAUUGUCAUAGGAACAUUGAACAAGGAGGAAACAUACCCUAUUUUAGUUCCUUACUCUUUCAAGUUGUUUGCUAAAUUUGACCACAGAUAUCUUUACAUGCUUUAUCUUCUAAAUAACCUUUUUCGGUAUUUUGAAGAAACCUGGGAGAAGAAAUGCAUAGAAUCUUUGAUAAGAAUCACGUUUUGCGCCUUCUUGAAAAGCUGGUCACUGAAUCUGUUUAAAUACCUAGUGGGCUGGCCUGUUCCCCCAGCAGGACACAAGAGUGUUGACAUAAACCGACGGCUGAAUUUUCAAGGGUGAGGUUUACAGUAGAUGUAAUAGCAAGGAAGUGGAAAAGGCAAUUAAAAAAAAAAGAGUAUGUGUGUUCUAAUUAAGAGUGAAGAUAGUGUAAUCUGGUGCUUUCUGUUAUAGAGACCUGUCAUGGAUUAACCCCAGCCACAAAAUAAGCUCCACACAGCCGCUUGGAGAAAAUCAGGAGGGUAAAAGCCAGAAAACUCAUGGGUUGAGAUAAAGGCAGUUUAAUAGUGAAAGCAAAUGCCACUGUGCUGCUUUUCAGCUGCUUUACAGUGGCUAGCACAGAGUUGUGUUUUGGAUUUGUACUGAAAAUAGAGUUGAUAAUAUAGAGAUGAUUUUGUUAUUGCUGAGCAGAGCUUGCACAGAGUCAAGGCCUUUUCUGCUUUCUGAACGCACAUGUUGGUGAGGAAGCUGGGAGAGUACACAGCCUGGAAAGGUGAUCCAAACUGACCAAAGGGCUAUUCCAGCCCAUGUGACAUUAUUCUCAGUAUAUAAUGCGAGGGACCAAAGAAGGAAGCAGGGCACAAGUUUGGAGUGAUGGCAUUUGUCUGUCACUGUUAUGUGUGAUGGGGCCCUGAUCUCCUGGAUGUGGCUGAACACCUGUGUGCCCAUGGGAAGUAGUGAAUUAAUUCCUUCUUUUGGUUUGCUUGUGUGCAUGACCUCAUUUUAAAUUGUAUACAAAUUUUCAAAUUAUAAGCAUUUGGGAUUAAUUUCUUCAAGU
This is a long non-coding RNA of Passer domesticus (house sparrow), 2015 nucleotides long. RefSeq lists it as uncharacterized. The transcript has 8 exons. NCBI's taxonomy places the organism in Eukaryota, Metazoa, Chordata, Aves, Passeriformes, Passeridae. The record is from RefSeq and is a predicted model, not a curated record.